This 399-nucleotide ribosomal RNA is filed under the name uncultured bacterium. RNAcentral's name for it is "bacterial SSU rRNA". It matches the Rfam family "Bacterial small subunit ribosomal RNA", at positions 28 to 426 of the family's 1533-position model. The record is from RNAcentral.
GACGAACGCUGGCGGCGUGGAUUAGGCAUGCAAGUCGAGCGACGGACGUCUUCGGACGUUACGGAGCGGCGAACGGGUGAGUAACACGUGAACAACCUACCCUCUCAUUCCGGAUAAUUGGCCGAAAGGCCUUGUAAUACGGGGGAGGAUCUUUUUUGGGCAUCCUUAGGAGAUCGAACAGGUAACUGGUGCGAGGAGGGGUUCGCGGAUUAUCAGCUAGUUGGUGAGGUAACGGCUCACCAAGGCGACGACGAUUAGCUGGUCUGAGAGGAUGGUCAGCCACAUUGGAACUGAGAUACUGUCCAGACUCCUACGGGAGGCUGCAGUCGAGAAUCUUGGGCAAUGCACGAAAGUGUGACCCAGCGACGCCGCGUGCAGGAUGAAGGCCCUCUGGGUUGU